RNAcentral lists this transfer RNA (69 nucleotides) under Opsariichthys evolans (Formosan pale chub). Its description in RNAcentral is "tRNA-Ser". The record is from RNAcentral. RNAcentral also lists the same sequence under 1 other name. Lineage: Eukaryota; Metazoa; Chordata; Actinopteri; Cypriniformes; Xenocyprididae.
AAGGAAGGGUAGAAAUCAGUAAGUACUGCUAAUCCUUAUGCCCCGCGGUUAAAUUCCGCGGCUUCCUUA